RNAcentral lists this ribosomal RNA (372 nucleotides) under uncultured organism. Its description in RNAcentral is "partial 16S ribosomal RNA". It matches the Rfam family "Bacterial small subunit ribosomal RNA", at positions 527 to 896 of the family's 1533-position model. The record is from RNAcentral.
GUAGGUGGCAAGCGUUGUCCGGAAUUAUUGGGCGUAAAGCGCGCGCAGGCGGUUCUUUAAGUCUGAUGUGAAAGCCCACGGGCUCAACCGUGGAGGGUCAUUGGAAACUGGAGAACUUGAGUACAGAAGAGGAAAGCGGAAUUCCACGUGUAGCGGUGAAAUGCGUAGAGAUGUGGAGGAACACCAGUGGCGAAGGCGGCUUUCUGGUCUGUAACUGACGCUGAGGCGCGAAAGCGUGGGGAGCAAACAGGAUUAGAUGCCCUGGUAGUCCACGCCGUAAACGAUGAGUGCUAAGUGUUAGGGGGUUUCCGCCCCUUAGUGCUGCAGCUAACGCAUUAAGCACUCCGCCUGGGGAGUACGGCCGCAAGGCUG